GGACGAUUAGCUCAGUUGGUAGAGCGCUUCGUUUACACCGAAGAUGUCGGGAGUUCGAGUCUCUCAUCGUCCACCA
Molecule: transfer RNA, 76 nt
Filed under: Pseudomonadota bacterium
Lineage: Bacteria; Pseudomonadati; Pseudomonadota
Description: Proteobacteria bacterium (hot springs metagenome) tRNA-Val
Rfam family: tRNA
About the family: Transfer RNA (tRNA) molecules are approximately 80 nucleotides in length. Their secondary structure includes four short double-helical elements and three loops (D, anti-codon, and T loops).
Source: RNAcentral